GUGCUCACUUCAGCCACACAUACUGGAUUGGAACAAUACAGAGAAGAUUAGCAUGGCCCCUGUGCAAGGAUGACAUACAAAUUCUUGGAGCAUUCCAUAUUGAA
Molecule: small nuclear RNA, 104 nt
Organism: Prolemur simus (greater bamboo lemur)
Lineage: Eukaryota; Metazoa; Chordata; Mammalia; Primates; Lemuridae
Source: Ensembl